AACCUACGGGACGCAGCAGUGGGGGAUAUUGCACAAUGGGGGAAACCCUGAUGCAGCGACGCCGCGUGAGCGAAGAAGUAUUUCGGUAUGUAAAGCUCUAUCAGCAGGGAAGAAAAAAAUGACGGUACCUGAGUAAGAAGCACCGGCUAAAUACGUGCCAGCAGCCGCGGUAAUACGUAUGGUGCAAGCGUUAUCCGGAUUUACUGGGUGUAAAGGGAGCGUAGACGGCCAGACAAGUCUGAAGUGAAAAUCGAGCGCUUAACGUUGGAAGUGCUUUGG
This 279-nucleotide ribosomal RNA is filed under the name uncultured bacterium. RNAcentral's name for it is "partial 16S ribosomal RNA". It matches the Rfam family "Bacterial small subunit ribosomal RNA", at positions 335 to 629 of the family's 1533-position model. The record is from RNAcentral.